RNAcentral lists this small RNA (1942 nucleotides) under Pan troglodytes (chimpanzee). Its description in RNAcentral is "retained intron". The record is from RNAcentral. Lineage: Eukaryota; Metazoa; Chordata; Mammalia; Primates; Hominidae.
CUGCAAGCUCCGCCUACCAGAUGCUGGUGAUUCUUGUGCCUCACCCUCCCAAGUAGCUGGGAUUACAGGCGCCCACCACCACGCUCAGGUAAUUUGUGUGUGAGUGUGUGUCUAUGUAUAUAUAUAUAGAGAGAGAGCGAGAGAGACACACACUCACAUGUUUUGGGGUUUUUUUGUUUUGUUUUGUUUUUCUUGAGAUAGAGUCUCGCUGUGUUGCCAGGUGAGUACUGUGGCGUGAUCUCGGCUCACUGUAACCUCCACCUCCUGGGUCCAAGCGAUUCUCCUGCUUCAGCCUCUGGAGUAGCUGGGACUACAGGCGCGUGCCACCAAGCCCAGCUAAUUUUUGUAUUUUUAGUAGAGAUGGGGUUUCACCAUGUUGGGCAGGAUGGUCUCGAUGUAUUGACUUUGUGAUCCGCCCUCCUCGGCCUCCCAAAGUGCUGGGCUCACAGGCGUGAGCCCCCGCGUCCAGCCUCAUCUGCAUUUCUGUGAUGUCUGUGUAAGUUCUGGGUCCCAGCUGGGAGCCGGAAGUUACAGUCUGCUUGCGUCGCUGUUUGACCUGUAGAGGGGCCUUAUCUCGCUCUACGAAUUUGUUUCUUGUUGGGAGAGUGUUUUGUGGUUGGCUUUUAACCUCUUGUUCUGAUUCUAGUGGAAUCCCCCAAAGAAGGUAAAGGGAGCAAGCCUUCCCCACUGUCUGUGAAGAACACCAAGAGGAGGCUGGAGGGCGCCAAGAAAGCCAAGGCGGACAGCCCCGUGAACGGCUUGCCAAAGGGGCGAGAGAGUCGAAGUCGGAGCCGGAGCCGUGAGCAGAGCUACUCGAGGUCCCCAUCCCGAUCAGCGUCUCCUAAGAGGAGGAAAAGUGACAGCGGCUCCACAUCUGGUGGGUCCAAGUCGCAGAGCCGCUCCCGGAGCAGGAGUGACUCCCCACCGAGACAGGCCCCCCGCAGCGCUCCCUACAAAGGCUCUGAGAUUCGGGGCUCCCGGAAGUCCAAGGACUGCAAGUACCCCCAGAAGCCACACAAGUCUCGGAGCCGGAGUUCUUCCCGUUCUCGAAGCAGGUCACGGGAGCGGGCGGAUAAUCCGGGAAAAUACAAGAAGAAAAGUCAUUACUACAGAGAUCAGCGACGAGAGCGCUCGAGGUCGUAUGAACGCGCAGGCCGUCGCUAUGAGCGGGACCACCCUGGGCACAGCAGGCAUCGGAGGUGAGGCGGGGUUGCAGUGACUGGUGGCCGCAAGCCCUUCCCUGGGGAGUACCUGAUGGCUGCCCUUUGACCCCCGGUGGCUGCCCUUUGACCCCCGGGUGUGCUCUCUCAGCGCAAGUGGCCCUAGAGCAGGAUUCUUUUUGGAAAUGUCUGUCGACUGGACCUUGGUGGAUUUGGAAAUGGAACUGAGGGACCGGUGACACGUGCUUCAGACCGGUCUGGGGUGCGGCGCACACCUGGGCCGGUGCGGGGCUCAGCUCGGCAGCAGCUCUGAGGGCAGCUCAAUGAAAAAGUGAAUGCACACGCCCUUGGUGGCGUGGCCUGGCAUGGCCUGGUGCUAUCGGCAGCCGCUCCCCACUCCCCGACUGAUACUCAAUUACGUGAAGCCAAGAAGGAUGAUUUUUAGAACCUUUGCCUAUAUUAGGUUGUACUUAUGUACAUAUUUUGCAGUGUUUCACAGGAGAAAGUGGCCUUAACUGCCCCUUAUUCUCUCUCCACGUUGUAAAUAAACAUGUGUUUAAUACAAGUUAAAGCUAUAUAUGAAAACUCAGAACUUGAAUCCUGUCAGCUUAAAACUUGUGUAGGGAAUCCUGACUUUUUAAAAUGUGAGGGUAUUUGGAUCUGUGUUGAAAGUCGUAUAUUUUUAUCUGUGCGGUGCUGAGUGCAGGCCACCAGCUCCUAAAUAGAGGUUCCCUAUAUGCGCGUAUGACAUGGUGAAUAAACACAACUCUCUCCACUCAGGA